GCUUGUAUCUUCUUCACUUACCUCCUCUGUUCAGACCGCUAGACAGAUAUUCGGCGCAAAACCAGCUGUGUCCGUAUCACAGAGGAAGGUUUCCUUGGUUGUUAAGGCUGCAUCAACUCCACCUGCCAAGGUACAUGAUACUACUCUCUAAUUAUUUAACAAACAGUGUGAACUGAACAAUUGUCCGAUCUUGGAUUUGUGUGUUUGGUUUCAGCAAGGAGCAAACAGGCAAUUGUGGUUUGCAUCAUCACAGAGUCUCUCUUACUUGGAUGGCAGGUAAUUCCAAAUAUUUGAUUUUUUUAAAGCUUCAAGACGUGUAGAGUUUAUAGAGAACGAUUCUUAACUGGAGAGUUGUUGUGAUUCUGAAGCUUACCUGGCGACUUCGGAUUCGAUCCGCUUGGUCUUUCAGACCCAGAGGGUACUGGAGGCUUCAUCGAGCCGAGAUGGCUAGCCUACGGAGAGAUCAUCAACGGGAGGUUCGCUAUGUUGGGUGCAGC
RNAcentral lists this long non-coding RNA (497 nucleotides) under Brassica napus (rape). Its description in RNAcentral is "long non-coding RNA (BNAP_LNC000643)". Lineage: Eukaryota; Viridiplantae; Streptophyta; Magnoliopsida; Brassicales; Brassicaceae. The record is from RNAcentral.